CCGGAGGCGACCGCUGUGGGAGUCCGAUUAAGCCAUGCGAGUCGAGAGAAUAAGAUUCUCGGCAUACCGCUCAGUAACACGUGGAUAACUGCCCUGUGCUGGGGGAUAACCUCGCGAAAGUGAGAACAAUACCCCAUGGGUCACUAUGCCUGGAACGGUUAGUGGCUGAAAGCUCCGGCGGCACAGGAUGGGUCUGCGGCGUAUCAGGUCGUAGGGGGUGUAACGUACCUCCUAGCCUUCGACGCGUACGGGUUGUGAGAGCAAUUGCCCGGAGAUGGAUUCUGAGACACGAAUCCAGGCCCUACGGGGCGCAGCAGGCGCGAAAACUUGACAAUGCGAGAAAUCGUGAUCAGGGGACUCCAGUUGGCUGGAUCAAAAGUCCAGUCUGAACCGACUUUAAAUCGGUCGGGUAAUAGGGGCGGGAAAGACCGGUGCCAGCCGCCGCGGUAAUACCGGCGCCCCAAGUGGUCGUCACUAUUAUUGGGCCUAAAACGUCCGUAGCCGGUUUGGUAAAUCCGUGGGUAAAUCAGACAGCCCAACUGUCUGAAUUCUGCGGGGACUGCCAGACUUGAGACCGGGAGAGGUGCGGGGUACUUGCGGGGUACCGGUAAAAUGGGAUCAUCCCGUAGAGACCACCUGUUGCGAAGGCGCCGCACUAGAACGGAUCUGACGGUCAGGGACGAAGCCUAGGGGCACGAACCGGAUUAGAUACCCGGGUAGUCCUAGGUGUAAACGCUGUGGACUUGGUGUCGGGGACCUUCUGAGGGUUUCCGGUGCCGGAGUGAAGAUGUUAAGUCCACUGCCUGGGGAGU
This 812-nucleotide ribosomal RNA is filed under the name uncultured Candidatus Poseidoniales archaeon. RNAcentral's name for it is "SSU rRNA". It matches the Rfam family "Archaeal small subunit ribosomal RNA", at positions 17 to 836 of the family's 1478-position model. Lineage: Archaea; Methanobacteriati; Thermoplasmatota; Candidatus Poseidoniia; Candidatus Poseidoniales. The record is from RNAcentral.